CAGUCGAACGAGCGAGAGAGAGCUUACUUUCUCAAGCGAGUGGCGAACGGGUGACUAUCGCGUGAGGAACCUGCCUCAAAGAGGGGGACAACAGUUGGAAACGACUGCUAAUACCGCAUAAGCCCACGACCCGGCAUCGGGUAGAGGGAAAAGGAGCAAUCCGCUUUGAGAUGGCCUCGCGUCCGAUUAGCUAGUUGGUGAGGUAACGGCCCACCAAGGCGACGAUCGGUAGCCGGACUGAGAGGUUGAACGGCCACAUUGGGACUGAGACACGGCCCAGACUCCUACGGGAGGCAGCAGUGGGGAAUAUUGCACAAUGGGGGAAACCCUGAUGCAGCGACGCCGCGUGGAGGAAGAAGGUCUUCGGAUUGUAAACUCCUGUUGUUGAGGAAGAUAAUGACGGUACUCAACAAGGAAGUGACGGCUAACUACGUGCCAGCAGCCGCGGUAAAACGUAGGUCACAAGCGUUGUCCGGAAUUACUGGGUGUAAAGGGAGCGCAGGCGGGAAGACAAGUUGGAAGUGAAAUCCAUGGGCUCAACCCAUGAACUGCUUUCAAAACUGUUUUUCUUGAGUAGUGCAGAGGUAGGCGGAAUUCCCGGUGUAGCGGUGGAAUGCGUAGAUAUCGGGAGGAACACCAGUGGCGAAGGCGGCCUACUGGGCACCAACUGACGCUGAGGCUCGAAAGUGUGGGUAGCAAACAGGAUUAGAUACCCUGGUAGUCCACACUGUAGACGAUGAUUACUAGGUGUUGGAGGAUUGACCCCUUCAGUGCCGCAGUUAACA
RNAcentral lists this ribosomal RNA (785 nucleotides) under uncultured bacterium. Its description in RNAcentral is "bacterial SSU rRNA". It matches the Rfam family "Bacterial small subunit ribosomal RNA", at positions 59 to 857 of the family's 1533-position model. The record is from RNAcentral.